GAUGUACGCUGGCGGCGUGCCUAAUACAUGCAAGUCGAGCGAACAGACGAGGAGCUUGCUCCUCUGACGUUAGCGGCGGACGGGUGAGUAACACGUGGAUAACCUACCUAUAAGACUGGGAUAACUUCGGGAAACCGGAGCUAAUACCGGAUAACAUGUUGAACCGCAUGGUUCAACAGUGAAAGACGGUCUUGCUGUCACUUAUAGAUGGAUCCGCGCCGCAUUAGCUAGUUGGUAAGGUAACGGCUUACCAAGGCAACGAUGCGUAGCCGACCUGAGAGACUGAUCGGCGACACUGGAAGUGAGACACGGUCCAGACUCCUACGGGAGGCAGCAGUAGGGAAUCUUCCGCAAUGGGCGAAAGCCUGACGGAGCAACGCCGCGUGAGUGGAGAAGGUCUUCGGAUCGUAAAACUCUGUUAUUAGGGAAGAACAAAUGUGUAAGUAACUAUGCGCGUCCUGACGGUACCUAAUCAGGAAGCCACGGCUAACUACGUG
Molecule: ribosomal RNA, 497 nt
Filed under: uncultured bacterium
Lineage: Bacteria
Description: partial 16S ribosomal RNA
Rfam family: Bacterial small subunit ribosomal RNA
Source: RNAcentral